UUUAAACUGCUGAAAAGGAUUAGUAAAUAUUAAUGAGGCUUCAGAGAGCUGGCGGUUGGUGCAAGUCAGUGCUGAUUGAUAUUGAAUCCACCUUGGAGGGUUUGCGAUGAGCAAAACGGUUGCGGCCGUUAUACCGCAGAAAGAGAACCAUAAUUCUUUAAAAAGAUAUGGUUAAUUUGGGUGGCAACGCGGAAGAUAAGUCUUUCGUCCCUGUU
RNAcentral lists this non-coding RNA (215 nucleotides) under Fervidicella metallireducens. Its description in RNAcentral is "T-box sequence". It matches the Rfam family "T-box leader". From Rfam's summary of the family: Uncharged tRNA acts as the effector for transcription antitermination of genes in the T-box leader family. T-boxes are found upstream of many aminoacyl-tRNA synthetase genes and some amino acid biosynthetic genes usually in Gram-positive bacteria. The anticodon of a specific tRNA base pairs to a specifier sequence within the T-box motif, and the NCCA acceptor tail of the tRNA base pairs to a conserved bulge in the T-box antiterminator hairpin. The record is from RNAcentral. Lineage: Bacteria; Bacillati; Bacillota; Clostridia; Eubacteriales; Clostridiaceae.